Molecule: ribosomal RNA, 253 nt
Filed under: uncultured bacterium
Lineage: Bacteria
Description: partial 16S ribosomal RNA
Rfam family: Bacterial small subunit ribosomal RNA
Source: RNAcentral
UACAGCGGUCUCAAGCGUUGUUCGGAUUCAUUGGGCGUAAAGGGUGCGUAGGCGGCGCGGUAAGUCGGAUGUGAAAUCUCGGAGCUUAACUUCGAAACUGCAUUCGAUACUGCCGUGCUUGAGGACUGGAGAGGAGACUGGAAUUUACGGUGUAGCGGUGAAAUGCGUAGAUAUCGUAAGGAAGACCAGUGGCGAAGGCGGGUCUCUGGACAGUUCCUGACGCUGAGGCACGAAGGUCAGGGGAGCAAACGGG